UGACGGUAUUAGGAGAGGCAUUGGUGCCCUGCUCUGCUGCAGAACGCGUCUGCUCCAGACUCAGCGAAUCCCUUGGAUUGGGCUGGAGAUAUUUCCUAGAGCCAGAACUUCUCUCCUGGGGCAGGAAGCCAAAGGUCCAGGUCCCCACGGGGUGGGCACGUCGGUCAGAGCGAGCAUCUCGGUGCGUGGCAGAGAAGCUGCUGCUUCCCAUUGCUUAGCAAGGGGGGGAGCCGGGGCUGAGCCGCAACCUGCACAUGGCAGCUUUCAGGACCUCCUGCCACCGUGGAGCUGGCUUUGGGUAACGCUGGUGUAUUGGCUUUAUGUGCCAAGGUUUGGUAUGUGGCUGCCAAUUGAGUGAUGCUGAUUGUGCCUCGGAGACAGCAGACUUCAGAAAAGAAAAGGAAAACAAAGAAACAAACAACCAAACAAACAAAAAAAAAAAAAAAACUGCUGUGAACAACAGCUGAAAACAGCAGCUGAGAAGAGGAAGGAGGAACACAGACAGAAACAGCCCUGCAGACACAAGGGGUGGAGCAAGGCUGCAGGAAGGCACAGCCGGCACAGCCCGCCCCUGCUGCUGCUGCUUUGGGAGAACAACGGAACCGAGGAUGAAAAAGAAUUUCCCUGCUAGUUUGUGUUAGCUCCGAAGAGCCAUGCGCCUCUACAGUUGUGCUGCUACUUUUAGAAGACAAAGCAAGAUUUUUCCUUCUGUUUAAUUACCGGCUGGUCCAUCGCUGCUAGUGACCCUGCUGAGAGCGUUGCUGCAGAAGGAGCUCAACCCUCGUGGUGGUUUGAAAGCACCUGUGGCUCUUUGCCAUGUCCUUCGCAGGCUACCUGCUGCUGCUUUUGCAGGUGUCCUGUCUUGCAGCAGAAAUGACAGUGCAAUGGGUAGAGGAAGGAUCCUCUGUCAUGAUGCACGCACCAGCUAUCAGGAACAUCAACUUGGCCAAGUGGGAAUACAUAAGAGAGAACAUCCCUGAAUUAAUCCUGCAGUACUACGCAGAGUCGCAGUCAGUAACCAUUUACCCAGCUUACAAAGGCAGAGUGGUUUUCAACCAAAACAACGGCUCCCUUGUCCUGCAGAAGCUGCGAGAGACGGACAGUGGCACCUAUAAAGCAACAGUUAACUCGAUGCAGGACAAAGCAGCAACAACCAAUCUUACAGUGAUCAAGCCCUUGCCCCAGCCCAAGCUCCUGAGCAGCUCAAACCUGGAUGGUUCACUCAUCAACCUGACCUGCGUGCUGCCAGAAGGAACGGUGGCUGAUGUCUCCUGGAAGAAGGAUGGACAUCCCCUUCCUCCCGAAAAGUGCUUCCAGCUCACUGGGAAGAACACUGUGCUGCAGAUAAGGAAGGCAGAGAAGUCGGAUUGCGGCUCCUACUCCUGCAUAAUCAACAACUCCAUAAGCUGGAAGGAGGCAGCCCUCAACCUGACCGUGACAGGUCUUACACCUCCUACCUGUGCUGCACAGAUGAUGACCGCUGCUGCGCUGGUGCUCACUGCCAUCUCUGCCGUCCUCUUCGUUAUCCGGGUCGCUCAGCUGGGGAAGCUCAGACUCGGAAAGGAAGCGUGGGAAUGGUUAAUGAUGUCCUUACUGGUGCUGCUGUGCACCUCUUCUCUCCUCCUGUUGCCUGUCUCUGUCAUCUGGAUGCAGGAAGAUGGUCAUUCUGCUGCCUUCAUCCUGCUCGGGCUUAUCCUCUCAGCUGGGAUCGUGGCUAAGGCACUGACGGCGGUGGCGAUGUCGCCGUGCAGACCAGCAGUGCUCACACACUUCAGGUCCAAAGGCUGGCACCGUGUCAUCCUGUGCAUUACAGCCACGAUGCUGGCAGUCAACCUGCUGUUCAGCAGCCUCCUGCUCCACAACUUCUAUCAGCUCCAUGAGCGGGGCUGCUCAGAGGCUGUCAAUCUGACCAUCGGCUUCGUCAUUCCUGCUGUAGCAGUCAUCCUCAUGCUACUGCUCCUCUUCCUGUGGUCUUACAAGAAAAACCAGGAGAGGCAUCAGCAGCUGGACCCCCAGGAGGUCACCCACAGCUUACAGACCACGUCCACCUUGGUGACUUCCAGCACGCAUCAGCUGUCUCCUUCUCCAGUUGCUGCAGAUACUCGUCAUGUAACAAUGAAUAUUUAAUACUCACCGGGAAGCAUCCAUCUGCCUUCCUGCAGAACGGCACGGGUGGAUUUGUCACCACCUGGGGGGUGACAUCAGAAGAACCAGUCAUUGGAAAAGCUGGUACAUUCCUCCUAGGCCAGUCCAGACACUGAACUAGUGCCAAAGUGGAUACUGGAUGAUUUGAGUCUUAAGGAUUCUUUGUAAUACAUCUAGGUUAGAUUGCAGCUCUUUUCUAAGGGAGCUUCCCGUAGUUCCCGACUGCAUAUCUCCUGUCCUGCAGAUCACUGAUGGUGCUCGAGAGCCUUUCCUUUUCCUCCAGCUACGGUUGGGUUGGGCAUUAACACUGGAAUGGGCUGGUACAGCCUCACUUGUUCCCCACAUUGGGUGCCAUUUGUGGUGACCGAGUGCACGGACUCUUCGUGUGAUCAAGUCUCUAUUGCAACCCGGCUAUGCUCCUUUUACACACUUCCCUUCAGAGGUUUUCCUUCCACAAAUCCUCCAGCCCCGUUUACAGUCCUUUGAUCCUUGUAUUUCUCAGGCUGGUAGGUACCUUACUGCAACCUCCUGUUCCCAUGCUGGGUUUUGGUCACACUUUGUUACUUUCCUCUUUCCUGGGCCUCGUGGCAGUCCUUGCUCUCACCUCCUCUUGUUAUUCCGUAUGCCUCAGACUCUGUG
Anas platyrhynchos (mallard) is the source of this 2784-nucleotide non-coding RNA. NCBI's taxonomy places the organism in Eukaryota, Metazoa, Chordata, Aves, Anseriformes, Anatidae. The record is from RefSeq and is a predicted model, not a curated record.